GUGGAUUAGAUACCCUGGUAGUCCUAGCCGUAAACGAUGGACACUAGGUGUUGGUGGUAUCAACCCCGCCAGUGCCGAAGCUAACGCAUUAAGUGUCCCGCCUGGGGAGUACGGCCGCAAGGCUAAAACUCAAAGGAAUUGACGGGGCCCCGCACAAGCAGCGGAGCGUGGGGUUUAAUUCGACGCAACGCGAAGAACCUUACCAGGGCUUGACAUGACCAGGACAGCGGCGGAAACGUCGCCUCCCCGCAAGGGGCCUGGCCACAGGUGUUGCAUGGCUGUCGACAGCU
RNAcentral lists this ribosomal RNA (290 nucleotides) under uncultured bacterium. RNAcentral's name for it is "partial 16S ribosomal RNA". It matches the Rfam family "Bacterial small subunit ribosomal RNA", at positions 773 to 1060 of the family's 1533-position model. The record is from RNAcentral.